RNAcentral lists this non-coding RNA (923 nucleotides) under Sarcohyla bistincta (Mexican fringe-limbed treefrog). RNAcentral describes it as "partial 12S ribosomal RNA". It matches the Rfam family "Bacterial small subunit ribosomal RNA". The record is from RNAcentral. Lineage: Eukaryota; Metazoa; Chordata; Amphibia; Anura; Hylidae.
UGGUCCCAGCCUUGAAAUCAAUUGUUACUUAAUAUACACAUGCAAGUCUCAGCACCCCUGUGAGAACGCCCUUAAUUUCCUAGCAGGAACAAGGAGCUGGUAUCAGGCACAAUUUUUAGCCCAAGACACCUAGCUAUGCCACACCCACAAGGGAUUUCAGCAGUGAUUAACAUUGAGUAUAAGCGACAGCUUGACUCAGUUAAAGUAAAAAGAACUGGCAAAUCUGGUGCCAGCCGCCGCGGUUACACCAGAGGUUCAAAUUGAUUCUUUUCGGCGUAAAGCGUGAUUAAAGCCCAUUAAACAAUUAUAGUUGUAUUAGGACUAAGCUGUGACACGCUUGUACCUAAGAGAUCCAAAAACGAAAGUUACUAUAUUUAUAACAACUUGAACCCACGACAGCUAGGACACAAACUGGGAUUAGAUACCCCACUAUGCCUAACCGUAAACCUUAAAUUACACCCACAUCGCCAGGGAACUACGAGCAAAGCUUAAAACCCAAAGGACUUGACGGUACCCCAUAUCCACCUAGAGGAGCCUGUCCUAUAAUCGAUAAUCCACGCUUAACCUCACCAUUUUUAGCCUACCAGCCUGUAUACCUCCGUCGUCAGCUUACCUCGUGAGCGAUUUUUAGUGAGCUUAAUGUCCACACGCCAAUACGUCAGGUCAAGGUGCAGUAAAUAAAAUGGGAAGAGAUGGGCUACACUCUCUAGUAUAGAAUACACGAAAGACUACAUAUGAAAUCUAGUCAGAAGGCGGAUUUAGUAGUAAAAAGAGAUCAUAAAGCUCUUUUUAACAUGGCACUGGGGUGUGUACACACCGCCCGUCACCCUCUUCAAAGCUAAUAGAUAGUACUUAACGUAAUAUGGCAAAACAGAAGAGGCAAGUCGUAACAUGGUAAGUAUACCGGAAGGUGUGCUUGGAAA